AAUAGAUACCCGGGUAGUCCAUGCCGUAAACGUUGGGAACUAGAUGUAGGGACCAUUCCACGGUUUCUGUGUCGCAGCUAACGCAUUAAGUUCCCCGCCUGGGGAGUACGGCCGCAAGGCUAAAACUCAAAGGAAUUGACGGGGGCCCGCACAAGCGGCGGAGCAUGCGGAUUAAUUCGAUGCAACGCGAAGAACCUUACCAAGGCUUGACAUAUACCGGAAAAGUUCAGAAAUGUUCUCCCCGCAAGGUCGGUAUACAGGUGGUGCAUGGUUGUCGUCAGCUCGUGUCGUGAGAUGUUGGGUUAAGUCCCGCAACGAGCGCAACCCUCGUUCUAUGUUGCCAGCACGUAAUGGUGGGAACUCAUAGGAGACUGCCGGGGUCAACUCGGAGGAAGGUGGGGAUGACGUCAAAUCAUCAUGCCCUUAUGUCUUGGGCUUCACGCAUGCUACAAUGGCCGAUACAAAGGGCUGCAAUACCGUAAGGUGGAGCGAAUACCCAAAAACGUCGGUCUCAGUUCGGAUUAAGGUCUGCAACUCGA
RNAcentral lists this ribosomal RNA (539 nucleotides) under uncultured bacterium. Its description in RNAcentral is "bacterial SSU rRNA". It matches the Rfam family "Bacterial small subunit ribosomal RNA", at positions 777 to 1315 of the family's 1533-position model. The record is from RNAcentral.